UUUUUGGCGGCAGGCUUAACACAUGCAAGUCGAGCGGAUGAAGGGAGCUUGCUCCUGGAUUCAGCGGCGGACGGGUGAGUAAUGCCUAGGAAUCUGCCUGGUAGUGGGGGAUAACGUCCGGAAACGGGCGCUAAUACCGCAUACGUCCUGAGGGAGAAAGUGGGGGAUCUUCGGACCUCACGCUAUCAGAUGAGCCUAGGUCGGAUUAGCUAGUUGGUGGGGUAAAGGCCUACCAAGGCGACGAUCCGUAACUGGUCUGAGAGGAUGAUCAGUCACACUGGAACUGAGACACGGUCCAGACUCCUACGGGAGGCAGCAGUGGGGAAUAUUGGACAAUGGGCGAAAGCCUGAUCCAGCCAUGCCGCGUGUGUGAAGAAGGUCUUCGGAUUGUAAAGCACUUUAAGUUGGGAGGAAGGGCAGUAAGUUAAUACCUUGCUGUUUUGACGUUACCAACAGAAUAAGCACCGGCUAACUUCGUGCCAGCAGCCGCGGUAAUACGAAGGGUGCAAGCGUUAAUCGGAAUUACUGGGCGUAAAGCGCGCGUAGGUGGUUCAGCAAGUUGGAUGUGAAAUCCCCGGGCUCAACCUGGGAACUGCAUCCAAAACUACUGAGCUAGAGUACGGUAGAGGGUGGUGGAAUUUCCUGUGUAGCGGUGAAAUGCGUAGAUAUAGGAAGGAACACCAGUGGCGAAGGCGACCACCUGGACUGAUACUGACACUGAGGUGCGAAAGCGUGGGGAGCAAACAGGAUUAGAUACCCUGGUAGUCCACGCCGUAAACGAUGUCGACUAGCCGUUGGGAUCCUUGAGAUCUUAGUGGCGCAGCUAACGCGAUAAGUCGACCGCCUGGGGAGUACGGUCCGCAAGGUUAAAACUUCAAAUGAAUUGACGGGGGCCCGCACAAGCGGUGGGAGCAUGUUGGUUUUAAUUCGAAGCAACG
Molecule: ribosomal RNA, 938 nt
Filed under: Pseudomonas aeruginosa
Lineage: Bacteria; Pseudomonadati; Pseudomonadota; Gammaproteobacteria; Pseudomonadales; Pseudomonadaceae
Description: bacterial SSU rRNA
Rfam family: Bacterial small subunit ribosomal RNA
Source: RNAcentral